GUCUAAAUAGCUUAAGAAAAGCGCUACAUUGAAGCUGUAAAGAUGGUCUACCUUUAGACA
This 60-nucleotide transfer RNA is filed under the name Baikalogammarus pullus. Its description in RNAcentral is "tRNA-Phe". It matches the Rfam family "tRNA". Rfam says of the family: Transfer RNA (tRNA) molecules are approximately 80 nucleotides in length. Lineage: Eukaryota; Metazoa; Arthropoda; Malacostraca; Amphipoda; Baikalogammaridae. The record is from RNAcentral.